This 956-nucleotide long non-coding RNA is filed under the name Homo sapiens (human). Its description in RNAcentral is "HSALNT0319298". Lineage: Eukaryota; Metazoa; Chordata; Mammalia; Primates; Hominidae. The record is from RNAcentral.
GUGAGCCUGUUCUCUCUUUUGGGAACUCUUUAAUUUGAUGUUGAAAUUCUUGGACUGAUAGUUUAAUUUUCUUAUCUUUUUUUUUUUUUACUUCAUCUCCAUUUUUAAUUUCCAAAAGCACCUCUUGUUAUCUAAUUUGUCUUUGUUUUUCUUUUCUUUUUUAUUUUUUAAAUCAGUUUCCUCAGAUUGAAUCAUUAAUUUUUCUAACUUCCUUUCUCCCUGCCUCCUUUCCUUUUUUUCUUCCCUCCUUUCCUUUUCUUCUUCCUUGCUUUCUUCCCUCCUUUUCUCCCUGCCUCUCUCCCUAUCUUCCUUCCUUUCUUCGUCAGAGGCAUUGAGUCUUAUUUUAUGGUGUAAAAUCUUAUCUCCCUGAGAAUGUUUGGAAGUGUCUUUUACUGCCUGUAUUAUCUCUGUUUCUGCUGAGUCCUGUUUUCCUCCUCUGGCCUGUUUGUUUUGGUCCCUCUCUUUACUGUUGAAAGCGUUCCUCAAAGGUCUGAUGAUCCUUGAAUAGUUGGUCAGUUUUUUGUUUUUUGUUUUUUUGUUGAGACAGAGUCUCACUCUGUCGCCCAGGCUGGAGUGCAGUGGCGCAAUCUUGGCUCACCGCAACCUCCGCCUCUCAGGCUCAAGUGAUUUCCCUGCCUCAGCCUCCCAAGUAGCUGGAAUUAGUGGUGCGUGCCACCAUGCCCGGCUAAUUUUUGUGUUUUUAGUAGAGACCGGGUUUCACCAUUUUGACCAGGCUGGUCUCGAACUCCUGACCUCAGGUGAUCCACCAUGCCCGCCCUUGGUCAGAUUUUUAACUGACUCACUGCACAGCUGAUUGGAAGCUCUGUUUGAGUGGGCAGGUUUUGUCAGCUUGUGAGCAUAUUUUUAGAUUCACUGGUUAGUCAGCCAGCUCAACUCCUAGAUUCACUACAAUUUUAGAUUUACUAGGAUUUUAGAUUCACUGGGUAGUCAGUUCC